Long non-coding RNA from Clarias gariepinus (North African catfish), 239 nucleotides. RefSeq lists it as uncharacterized. The record is from RefSeq and is a predicted model, not a curated record. The transcript has 3 exons. NCBI's taxonomy places the organism in Eukaryota, Metazoa, Chordata, Actinopteri, Siluriformes, Clariidae.
GGAGCAUCCUCUUUUAUCCCAUGUGUCAUCCUUCUGAUUCUGUCACACUUCAGAGAAAAACCUGAAGCACUCAUUCUUCAGACAGAUGUGUCAGCAACAGUGGCGGACGUGGAAAAGAAUUUUACACUUCCAGACUUUCCGAGACUGAUCGUCUUAGGUGAAAUUCUCACUGCAACUCAGUGGAUGCUGAGUAUUGAGGGCCAAGUGGUCGCAUCCUGCACACUUGAGUUUAUCCAGAG